RNAcentral lists this long non-coding RNA (1998 nucleotides) under Triticum aestivum (bread wheat). Its description in RNAcentral is "long non-coding RNA (TAES_LNC025989)". Lineage: Eukaryota; Viridiplantae; Streptophyta; Magnoliopsida; Poales; Poaceae. The record is from RNAcentral.
GAUAAAUGAGAAUAGAAUUUGCAUGGUAUAAUUAACAAUCCCAAAAUCUUUCUAUAAAUGAUCCAGUUACCGUUAUCCAUAUUGUACCUAUGUGCAUGCAUCCGAAAUCAGUAUACAUAAAACACACACACACAUAUACUGAGUAAACAAUGAUCUGACAUUUUCCACUUGACAAGUGAAAAGCUUACUUGCUCAAAGGCAACAACAUAACAGUUGUACAAAUAUAUGGGACCACCACUCUAAAUUUUUCAUCCAUCUCCUACAUUCAUCACUUCAUAAGUUCUAAGUCAUCUAGACUGCCACCGAUGUUCUCACCAUCAAUGUUGCAUACAAUGUUGCCAUUGUUGUGGUUGUCCAUAGCACCAUCCUCCAAGCUAACAUGAGAUGAAUAGGUGUUUCCCUGCGAAUUCAGGACAACAUUAGGGAGAACUAAUAUUGAAAAGUCAAGAUAAGAUGAGCAACAUCAGGUAGAUAUCAAAAUCAAUAGAAGUUGCAUUAUAGUGUGCAUACUAUGGUCCAUACCUACAACAUUGAUGAUCUCAUUGAUGUUAGCAUCAACACAUUAUGUAUUAAGGUGAUUAAGAACAUAAUAUGCCCUGCUUGUUGACAAUUUAAAUACCAUGACACUUCAUUGAUAAAAACACUCAGGCCAAUCAAGAAAUACAGAAGAAAAAAGAAUGCCCACUCAGUAUUUUCUUUGUAAAUUUGAGAUAUGGCAUAUGGAAGCACAAUAAUCAUUGGAUGUUAUACUAUACUGUAGUGCUUUUAGGGAAAAUGAAUAGGAGUAACUAACACUAAAAAUGCACCAGUAGCUUUAAGUUGGACCUUACAUCCAUUAGGAGGCAUUCUUAAUGAGGUCUCGGCCUUCUUUGUACUCCCCUCAUCGUCAAUAAGUAAUGCAUUAAAUAAGUGAUGGGAAUAUAACAUAAUAAGGUAAGAACCAAGACACCUAGUAUUUGUGAGAUAAUCACCUCAUCAAGACAAGCACAUACACCGCCUUAGUGUGAGAGGUACAUGAGAUAGGUUCUCAUUUGCAUGCUGCAACUUCUUUGCCCAUCAAUUUUGACCACAUAACUUACCUACAUCCAGACGCUUUCAUCAUUUGUACCAGAAAGCUUGUUUUACCACUAGUCCAUGACGCCUUACCCUUUUUACUCCUAAAAUAAACAGGAAAGAAUUACUUCAUAUACACAUUCUCAUGAACCAUCAAUCUGAUAGUGUAAUCAAUAACUUGGUAGAUAGCCGAAAGACAUAGAUAGCAAGUAAGAAAAAAAUGCAACAGUCAUCACUUCCAUCAAGGAUAUUAUUUUCAGUUUUUAGUUCUAAUCUACGAUAAUAAUAGCCAAUGGAGUAAGUCAGUUUGUUGAGUUCCACAAGCAAAAUCAGCUUGUGUUCUUUUGAAACAAGCAAAUUGCGUGAAGUUAAUUCUUUUGGAGGGUACAACCAUCUCAAGUUGAAAAGUGCCUCUCUUUUUUUGGUCAACACAAACUGUGUUGCAUAUUCAUUGAUAGGAUAGGAGAUAUAAAACAAAAAAGCAAGCAAUCAAGCCUCAGGUUGUGGCAUCUGCCUGGGUCAACUACAAGACACUAGCAAGCAAAUAUAAACACACAACAUUCGGAUUUGUAUGCUAUGAAUCAGUUCAGCAAGCAUGUACCUUCCUUUUCUCCAAUAGCAUCUUCAGGUUCCCCAAAGCAGAGAACAAGCGAAGGAGACAACAAGGCCGAGAGUUCUGACAAAAGCAGAGAGUUCCUUAAGUCUCAGAGAGUUCCUAAAAGCACAUAACUAUAAUGAUAAAUGAGAGUACUAAUAGUACACCUAACAGUAGCAUCUAAAAAUUAAGAUACAAGAGAAAACAAAGAUCUUUCUUGCAAAAUGAAAACUAAAUAAAUUAAUACACUCCAAACAAAUGCAAAGGGCCCUUAUUUUCUCACCCAUACGGCUAAUCUAUCAAGCAAUGAGCCACACAAAAAGUAAAUCAAGAUCCUGCCGCCCAAAGAC